Molecule: ribosomal RNA, 792 nt
Filed under: Vibrio sp. 11.5.052CS1
Lineage: Bacteria; Pseudomonadati; Pseudomonadota; Gammaproteobacteria; Vibrionales; Vibrionaceae
Description: bacterial SSU rRNA
Rfam family: Bacterial small subunit ribosomal RNA
Source: RNAcentral
CGAGCGGAACGACUUAUCUGAACCUUCGGGGAACGUUAAGGGCGUCGAGCGGCGGACGGGUGAGUAAUGCCUAGGAAAUUGCCUUGAUGUGGGGGAUAACCAUUGGAAACGAUGGCUAAUACCGCAUAAUGCCUACGGGCCAAAGAGGGGGACCUUCGGGCCUCUCGCGUCAAGAUAUGCCUAGGUGGGAUUAGCUAGUUGGUGAGGUAAUGGCUCACCAAGGCGACGAUCCCUAGCUGGUCUGAGAGGAUGAUCAGCCACACUGGAACUGAGACACGGUCCAGACUCCUACGGGAGGCAGCAGUGGGGAAUAUUGCACAAUGGGCGAAAGCCUGAUGCAGCCAUGCCGCGUGUAUGAAGAAGGCCUUCGGGUUGUAAAGUACUUUCAGUUGUGAGGAAGGGGGUGUCGUUAAUAGCGGCAUCUCUUGACGUUAGCAACAGAAGAAGCACCGGCUAACUCCGUGCCAGCAGCCGCGGUAAUACGGAGGGUGCGAGCGUUAAUCGGAAUUACUGGGCGUAAAGCGCAUGCAGGUGGUUCAUUAAGUCAGAUGUGAAAGCCCGGGGCUCAACCUCGGAACUGCAUUUGAAACUGGUGAACUAGAGUACUGUAGAGGGGGGUAGAAUUUCAGGUGUAGCGGUGAAAUGCGUAGAGAUCUGAAGGAAUACCAGUGGCGAAGGCGGCCCCCUGGACAGAUACUGACACUCAGAUGCGAAAGCGUGGGGGAGCAAACAGGAUUAGAUACCCUGGUAGUCCACGCCGUAAACGAUGUCUACUUGAGGUUGUGGCCUUGA